UGGGGAAUCUUCCGCAAUGGGCGAAAGCCUGACGGAGCAAUACCACGUGAGGGAAGAAGGCCCGUGGGUUGUAAACCUCUUUUCUUAGGGAAGAAAAAUGCCUGUACCUAAGGAAUAAGCAUCGGCUAACUCCGUGCCAGCAGCCGCGGUAAUACGGAGGAUGCAAGCGUUAUUCGGAAUUACUGGGCGUAAAGAGUCUGUAGGUGGUUUAAUAAGUCUGCUGUCAAAGUCUAGGGCUUAACCCUAGUAAGGCAGUAGAAACUGUUAGACUAGAGUAUGGUAGAGGCAGAGGGAAUUCCCAGUGUAGCGGUGAAAUGCGUAGAUAUUGGGAAGAACACCAGUGGCGAAAGCGCUCUGCUGGGCCAUGACUGACACUGAGAGACGAAAGCGAGGGGAGCAAAUGGGAUUAGAUACCCGUGUAGUCC
This 425-nucleotide ribosomal RNA is filed under the name uncultured prokaryote. RNAcentral's name for it is "bacterial SSU rRNA". It matches the Rfam family "Bacterial small subunit ribosomal RNA", at positions 355 to 796 of the family's 1533-position model. The record is from RNAcentral.